Molecule: ribosomal RNA, 490 nt
Filed under: uncultured bacterium
Lineage: Bacteria
Description: partial 16S ribosomal RNA
Rfam family: Bacterial small subunit ribosomal RNA
Source: RNAcentral
AUUGAACGCUGGCGGCAGGCCUAACACAUGCAAGUCGAACGGUAACAGGAAGAAGCUUGCUUCUUUGCUGACGAGUGGCGGACGGGUGAGUAAUGUCUGGGAAACUGCCUGAUGGAGGGGGAUAACUACUGGAAACGGUAGCUAAUACCGCAUAACGUCGCAAGACCAAAGAGGGGGACCUUCGGGCCUCUUGCCAUCGGAUGUGCCCAGAUGGGGUUAGCUAGUAGGUGGGGUAACGGCUCACCUAGGCGACGAUCCCUAGCUGGUCUGAGAGGAUGACCAGCCACACUGGAACUGAGACACGGUCCAGACUCCUACGGGAGGCAGCAGUGGGGAAUAUUGCACAAAGGGCGCAAGCCUGAUGCAGCCAUGCCGCGUGUAUGAAGAAGGCCUUCGGGUUGUAAAGUACUUUCAGCGGGGAGGAAGGGAGUAAAGUUAAUACCUUUGCUCAUUGACGUUACCCGCAGAAGAAGCACCGGCUAACUCCGUG